GUCCGGGAGGACCAGCAGGUCCUUGGCUUCCUGCUGGCCAACCUCACAAAGGAGGUUCUGGUGACGGUGACCAUGGUCACCACGGCGAGCGCGCUCUGGACGACGCUCGCUGCCAUGUUCUCGUCGCACUCGGCGAGCCGCAUCAACAACAUCCGCACCUCCCUCAUCAACGCGCAGAAGGGUAAUCUCUCGGUUGCCUCUUACUUUGCUGCCAUGCGAGGUUUUGCAGAUGAACUAGCCGCGGCGGGCAAGGCCAUCCAGGAUGACGAACUAGUCUCCUACAUCAUCCACGGGCUAGACGCCGAUUACCAGCCUCUGGUGUCUGCUCUCGACGCUCGUGUGACCCCCGUCACACUCGAUGAACUCUACGCCAUGCUCUCCAACUUCGACCAGCGUGUGGCCCAUUACCACGGG
Molecule: ribosomal RNA, 414 nt
Filed under: Triticum aestivum (bread wheat)
Lineage: Eukaryota; Viridiplantae; Streptophyta; Magnoliopsida; Poales; Poaceae
Description: partial small subunit ribosomal RNA
Source: RNAcentral